RNAcentral lists this transfer RNA (90 nucleotides) under Streptomyces chryseus. RNAcentral describes it as "tRNA-Asp". Lineage: Bacteria; Bacillati; Actinomycetota; Actinomycetes; Kitasatosporales; Streptomycetaceae. The record is from RNAcentral.
CGCGGCCAUGGCGCGGGCGCCGUGGACGCCGUCACCGUCCUGGGUGUAGCGGGCGUCGAACUCGGCCAGUUCGGCGGCGGCGGCCGGGUC